UGGGGAAUUUUGGACAAUGGGCGAAAGCCUGAUCCAGCAAUGCCGCGUGUGUGAAGAAGGCCUUCGGGUUGUAAAGCACUUUUGUCCGGAAAGAAAUCCUUGGCUCUAAUACAGUCGGGGGAUGACGGUACCGGAAGAAUAAGCACCGGCUAACUACGUGCCAGCAGCCGCGGUAAUACGUAGGGUGCAAGCGUUAAUCGGAAUUACUGGGCGUAAAGCGUGCGCAGGCGGUUUGCUAAGACCGAUGUGAAAUCCCCGGGCUCAACCUGGGAACUGCGUUGGUGACUGGCAGGCUAGAGUAUGGCAGAGGGGGGUAGAAUUCCACGUGUAGCAGUGAAAUGCGUAGAGAUGUGGAGGAAUACCGAUGGCGAAGGCAGCCCCCUGGGCCAAUACUGACGCUCAUGCACGAAAGCGUGGGGAGCAAACAGGAUUAGAUACCCUGGUAGUCCACGCCCUAAACGAUGUCAACUAGUUGUUGGGGAUUCAUUUCCUUAGUAACGUAGCUAACGCGUGAAGUUGACCGCCUGGGGAGUACGGUCGCAAGAUUAAAACUUAAAGGAAUUGACGGGGUCAUAGCUGUUUCCU
This 585-nucleotide ribosomal RNA is filed under the name uncultured bacterium. RNAcentral's name for it is "partial 16S ribosomal RNA". It matches the Rfam family "Bacterial small subunit ribosomal RNA", at positions 355 to 1375 of the family's 1533-position model. The record is from RNAcentral.